CAGGUUCAUUCCAUAAAAUUCCCAAUAUUUAACAAAAAAAGAGAGAAGAGUUUCCAAAUGCAACACAUUUUCUGUUUCAUGAGUCCAUUUGUCAUAUCAGCUUGGUGGUGCCAAUUCCAGGAUUAAGUCGCCAGUUCACAAGCAGGCAUCAUUAUAGACUCAAUGGUAAUGGCAUUUUCAGCUACAUAGAGAGCCAGCAAACUGUGAUUCCUCAACUGACCAAUUUGAAUAAUGAGAAGAACCUCCAUUCUGGCCAGGAACCUGAGACAGUCUAUGACACUGUGGAUUUUUUUCAGAUGAACAGUGGCUGUAAAUGCUCUUUCCAUUACUUGCUUCAAUCUACCUUUGUUAUUCUGCCCAGACCCCAUGCUCAGCCCUGGGAACAUGAAAAUCAGCAAGCCACAGUCCCUGUUCUCGCUCCCUCCCAGUCCAGCGUGGAGACAGAUGCAUACAGAGAUGACAGCACAAUGUGAUAAGGCUGUGUGAGCACCUACAAGGGAUGUGCAAAGCUGUCUGCCCACAGGAGUCAGACAAGACUUCUCCAAGGAGGUGAACUUGGAUCUCAGCCUUAAGAGAUGAGUAGAAGUUUGCCAAAGAUGGAGAGCAUCCCAAACAGAACAGAGAUGACCAGGUCAAGAACUUCACGGUGGCAAGUCCCUGGAUACCUGCUGGGCUGAGCAGAAGGAAGCGUCUCCCACCCCCUGCCCUGCUCAACUUCAAGUACUGGGAACCCCCAGCAACAGCAGUCCCACUGGCAGGCAGUGUCUGGAAUCAGUCCUGCUGACCCAAACCAGAUGUGAGCCAUAUUUGGGAAUCCAGCCUAGAAAGCACGCGAAACGAACACCGGCCAUCUGAAUUCAGCAAGCUCAUGUAUUUGGAUGCUCAAAAGCAGCAGUCAUCUAUCAAAGGAAGUGUAUUGGACUAAAUGGAGAGAUUUUUAAUAAGAGGCAAGGGGGUGCACUUUCCCUAAUAAAAAGAGCAGAGAGA
This is a long non-coding RNA of Equus caballus (horse), 987 nucleotides long. The record is from Ensembl. Lineage: Eukaryota; Metazoa; Chordata; Mammalia; Perissodactyla; Equidae.